Long non-coding RNA from Oreochromis niloticus (Nile tilapia), 4082 nucleotides. RefSeq lists it as uncharacterized. The transcript has 2 exons. Lineage: Eukaryota; Metazoa; Chordata; Actinopteri; Cichliformes; Cichlidae. The record is from RefSeq and is a predicted model, not a curated record.
CGGGCGGCUAGGAUCGGCUCCAUUCCCUGCAAGACAGAGGGAGAAAUGUCAAAGGUUUCCUAAAUGUGCAUUCUCGCUUUAAUUUCAUGCAAAGACAUGCUCUCCGGGCAUCCCAUGUCAACAGUUUACACGCCCACAUCCUGUUUGGAGCAAUAAGGAAACGAGAGCCGUUUCCUGCUUGUCAUAUUGCCAGCUGCCACCAUCAGCUCAUUCACCAACUCUCCCCUCCGGUGACAUCACAAAGAAGAGAGAGCUUGCGAGAGAUCCUGAUGCCUGAUCCUGACAGAGGAGAGAGAAACUGAUCCUGGCCAAGAAUCACUGACAGCAUUCAGCUUUAGCUGUCUCAAGGUCCUGUGUCUGUAUGGCAGAUUGCAUCCUGUGAACAGUAAAUACAGAACUCAAGCUAUGCUAUAAAAUAUGCUAAAAACAUGAAAUGACAUUUGCAGUGCUUAAACUAAAACCCCAGGGGGAAUAUUUUUUUAUUUAUCGCUUACUGUGUUCUUCUUGUAAAUGAUUUGUUGUCGAGUCAUCUGGGGCGAUAGUCACUACAUUUAUGUGCUCCUAAGAAAAUUAACAGCAUAAUAUUUAAUCUCAAGAUUGCCACAUUAGCGUUUUAUUGGAAAUGAAAAGCGGUGCGAAAGGAAGGUUGCACUUGCAAGAAAUCACCUCUGGUAUAAACAGAGCUGUGGCUGUGAUAGCGUGGUCACAUAGUUUACCUCUUUCAGAAUAAACAAACCAAUGUCAAGGAAGAGUGGUCACGCAGACAACAGGAACUACAGCCCGGACCGAGGUCAUCACACUGACUCAACCACAAACACAGCAACCCUUAUCCAUGAUUACCCUGUCCAUGUGCCUCUCUCUCCCAGUAAUUACACUCUCAGCAUCGACACACACUUUCUCUCUUAGCCUCACAAACACACACAAAAAAAAAAACAAAAAAAAAAACAGGUACUCCCAAGGACAGGAUAUGCGGCUGUGGUGAAGAUAAAGUCUGACAGAUCAGUUCCUGUGGAAGACAGAUGCACUUUCUCCAGCAGUUAGCGCUUCAUAAAAUCUAUGACAUUCUCUAUCCAUGCUUCCCCGAGCACACAUAUGGCUUUCAGAAGAUACACUCAGUGUAAGCUGUCUAGAAAUGUGAAAUACUGCUUUCCUAUACGUAAACAUGCAAAACACGAGUCAGAAUUGAUUUACAGUGGCUGGAGGAUACUGUCGUCUCUGUUCUGCAUGUGCAGUGGCAUUUAUUGCAAUGUAUAACCCUUGAGAAACUACCAACUUAGACUCUCCGCUGUAAUUAAAACUGGUUCCGCUUAAGGUUUUGGUAACUGGAAACUCCCCAAAGUUAUAAAGUGCACUAGUCAUAAAAGUAGAGGAAAGAGAAGUCCAGCUGUUUUCUGCUAACGGUGAAAAACAUGAUCCCACACGGCUUCAAAAAUGUUGAAGUCUGGGCUCUGGGGAGGCCAAUCCAUGACUGAUAGUGUUCCAGUGAGUGGUGUUCUAUCCAGAUACACGUUUACAGCAUUAGUAUCGUGUUUGACAUCAUUUUCCUGCUGGAAAAUGAAGCCGUUCCAAUCAGACGCUGGAUCGAAAUCUGGUGAUACAUUUCUGUGUUCAUAGUCCCAAACCAUGACACAGCCUCCACAAAUAGCUGUAGACACUCACUUUUCCAUCUCAUUCUUGACCUACUUCUGUACAUACUGACAAUGACUUGAACCAAAAAACCCAAAUUUGGAUCCAUCACUCCACGUGACUUUUGUUCGCCGAUUUUCGGUCCAGUUCUUGAGUAAUCUGGCAUAUCUCAGCCUUUUCUCCAGGUUUCCUUUAAAAAAUGGCUUCACAAUAGCCCCGCCUCCACUGAGACCAUUUCUAAUAAGGAUGGUGAACAGUAGUGAACAACUGAAGCCCCUAAUGCAUCUCUCAGGUCCUGUGCAAGGUUUUUGUUGGAUUCCCCCCCCGCCGCCAUUUCUUAAGGAAGUUCAGUGUGUACUGUUCUCCUGCUUUAGAUUUUUUUUUUUUUUUUUUUUUUUUUUAGGUCUGCCACUUUCUCUUUUGGCUCCCUAGUUUUCUCAGGUUUUUGGUAAAUGUGGUAAAUGGCUCACCUUGUGGGUCUAAAAAUCCUAAUUUAUUCAUGUCAAGCUAUAUUAUCUUUGACAUUUUUCAUAGAUUCAACAAAAACUGGGAACAAAUUAUGCGUUUUCAUUACUAAGUUGUUGAUCUUGUGUAGAAGCCACACUGGUUCAUCCCUUGAGCCUUUCUCAUAGAUCAUAGCAGGAUUCACAAAAAUUGUGCACAAUAAUAUUUCUCCAACAUCCUCUGUUGCCUUUUAAUUAAUGAUGGUGGAUGGUGUUCUCAUCAGAGUUGGAGAGAAAAAAAGCAGCUGAAGCCUGAAACAUGAAAGGUUGUUAAAACGCCACUUCCUCUGUCUAAUGAGAGUUUAUUAUCUCUUCACAAUAAGUGUUUUUAAUUCAUUAUUGAGAGGAUAUCCUGUGCUGGAAAAUAAGGAGGAGAACAUGAUAGAUAAUUCCAAACCAGACACACACUCCUACAAAACAGGGAACAAACAGUGCCCUCAUUCACCAACAUGCUGCAGUGUGAAGCCUGGUUUACAAGGUGAACAGUGACACCUUCUGGCAAGAUCUGAUCCUUCAGUUAGUGCAGAGCACAGCAUGAGGCCACAUUGGAUAAAGUAGAGAGCAUAAAUUUAAGCAGGAAACCAAAGAAGCCAUUAAGUACAAACAGCUGAGGAUUCCUCAAUUAGAAACAGGUGGCUUAUUAUUAGCUUAGUUGUAGUUGACAACAUUUAAACAAAUUAAUAAGUAAUCAUGUAUUCAAAAAGUCUUAGCUGCAAUGUUUAAAAAAAAAUCCAAAUUAAGUUUAAUUGCUGCAAAGAAAUUCCAAAAACACUAAAGGGAAACUACUUAUAAUAGCAAGCCAGGAUAAAAAUUCACCUCAUAAAUGCUACAUUAAUACUUCGUAUGAUCAGUGCAUUUUUAAGGUCUGUUUCCAUUGUUUUGCUGGUGGCAGGAUCUGCUUUCUGCAUUUGAAGUUCAGUGUUGACAGCCCAGCAUCUACAGUGAAAAAAACAACGCUCUGCUUACAGCUUUUUCUCCCCUGCUGUGCUGACAGCAUUUUCAGUUAAAGAGCAUUACUUCCCUCUUUGUCCCUGACAAAAACUGUCAAUCCAUAGCUGUCACUGACAACCAAACUGUUUGGGAUCUCAGACUGAUCCAAUCCUGUGUUUAGGUCCUUUCUGGAGUAGACUGUGGAGACUCGGAGCACUCGGUACAGAUGAAGGCAAAAAUGUUUCACCGUAUUUUUGUAAUGUAACAACAACGCGGCUUUCUGAGAAGCACUCCAAGACUGAAAGCAUGGGUCAUUCCAUAUCAAUAACAGCUGUUAGUAGACACAGACCCUACGCUGUAACAAUCAAAAGUAGCCAUGCUUUUAUGUUAGCCUUUGUUUAGAAAGGCCUUUCAAGGUUUGUGGGUUAUUAAAACUUUAGAAUAAAGUCAACGUGAAAUUAUUCACUUCAGUUUCACACUUAUUGGGAAGCUUCAUUGCAUUGAUGGUAAUAAAUAAUAACACCCCGUCAACUCGAUUAAUAUUACCUUCAGCCUGUUUAUGUGUAAGAAGGUGCACACACAACAAAGCCAAGAGCAGAGAGGGGUAAAAACCCUGCACUACUUAUUGCUGAGGCUUCAUAGUACAGCUGCUUGAGCCGUUCAUAUAGGGAUUUAUGUCAUCAUUUUAAAAGUUUAGUUAGUUUAAUUUUCUAUGAUCAUCUGAUUAAUUGCCGCUCCAGGUUUAGAUUGAUAGAUCACAUAGAAUAGAAUGAGCUUACUAAUUAUAGUACUAACAUAACUUUUUUUCCCUCCCAGCAACAGCAAGAACAGCACUAGUUUUGAUGACUCCUACCUGGUUUGGGAGCUGUGGAUGCUGUUCUCCCAGCUGGGACAGACACUGGAUCAUUUUGUGAUGUUUGCGAGCCUGUAGGUGUGGCAUCUGCUGCCUCCUUCUGAACUUCUGUGGUAGAUGGAAACUCUGUAGCAUCCUUCUGAAUGUCUGUGAGAGCGGUGCACUUCAAA